CGAGCGCAACCCUUGUCCUUAGUUACCAGCACGUUAUGGUAGGCACUCUAAGGAGACUGCCGGUGACAACCGGAGGAAGGUGGGGAUGACGUCAAGUCAUCAUGGCCCUUACGGCCUGGGCUACACACGUGCUACAAUGGUCGGUACAAAGGGUUGCCAAGCCGCGAGGUGGAGCUAAUCCCAUAAAACCGAUCGUAGUCCGGAUCGCAGUCUGCAACUCGACUGCGUGAAGUCGGAAUCGCUAGUAAUCGUGAAUCAGAAUGUCACGGUGAAUACGUUCCCGGGCCUU
RNAcentral lists this ribosomal RNA (289 nucleotides) under uncultured Pseudomonas sp. RNAcentral's name for it is "partial 16S ribosomal RNA". It matches the Rfam family "Bacterial small subunit ribosomal RNA", at positions 1093 to 1382 of the family's 1533-position model. The record is from RNAcentral. Lineage: Bacteria; Pseudomonadati; Pseudomonadota; Gammaproteobacteria; Pseudomonadales; Pseudomonadaceae.